This 147-nucleotide ribosomal RNA is filed under the name Triticum aestivum (bread wheat). RNAcentral describes it as "partial small subunit ribosomal RNA". Lineage: Eukaryota; Viridiplantae; Streptophyta; Magnoliopsida; Poales; Poaceae. The record is from RNAcentral.
AUGUUAGGACGUGUGAUCGACGACUUGAGUGAUCCUAUUGAUGGGAAUUGGGCUCUAAGAAAUCACGAAUGAGGACGUGUUAAACUGAAAGCUCCAAGGAUUAUUGAACGUAAAUCUGUGCAUGCGCCCAUGCAAACAAGUAGUUAA